AUUGAACGCUGGCGGCAGGCCUAACACAUGCAAGUCGAGCGGAUGAAGGGAGCUUGCUCCUGGAUUCAGCGGCGGACGGGUGAGUAAUGCCUAUGAAUCUGCCUGGUAGUGGGGGAUAACGUCCGGAAACGGGCGCUAAUACCGCAUACGUCCUGAGGUAGAAAGUGGGGGAUCUUCGGACCUCACGCUAUCAGAUGAGCCUAGGUCGGAUUAGCUAGUUGGUGGGGUAAAGGCCUACCAAGGCGACGAUCCGUAACUGGUCUGAGAGGAUGAUCAGUCACACUGGAAGUGAGACACGGUCCAGACUCCUACGGGAGGCAGCAGUGGGGAAUAUUGGACGAUGGGCGAAAGCCUGAUACAGCCAUGCCGCGUGUGUGAAGAAGGUCUUCGGCUGGUAAAGCAAUUUAAGUUGGGAGGAAGGAAAGUAAGUUAAUACCUUGCUGUAUUGACGUUACCAACAGAAUAAGCACCGGCUAACUUCGUG
RNAcentral lists this ribosomal RNA (484 nucleotides) under uncultured bacterium. RNAcentral describes it as "partial 16S ribosomal RNA". It matches the Rfam family "Bacterial small subunit ribosomal RNA", at positions 30 to 507 of the family's 1533-position model. The record is from RNAcentral.